RNAcentral lists this ribosomal RNA (409 nucleotides) under Rahnella sp. DGGE band 34. Its description in RNAcentral is "bacterial SSU rRNA". It matches the Rfam family "Bacterial small subunit ribosomal RNA", at positions 957 to 1363 of the family's 1533-position model. Lineage: Bacteria; Pseudomonadati; Pseudomonadota; Gammaproteobacteria; Enterobacterales; Yersiniaceae. The record is from RNAcentral.
GAACGCGAAGAACCUUACCUACUCUUGACAUCCAGAGAAUUUGGUAGAGAUAGUUUAGUGCCUUCGGGAACUCUGAGACAGGUGCUGCAUGGCUGUCGUCAGCUCGUGUUGUGAAAUGUUGGGUUAAGUCCCGCAACGAGCGCAACCCUUAUCCUUUGUUGCCAGCGCGUAAUGGUGGGAACUCAAAGGAGACUGCCGGUGAUAAACCGGAGGAAGGUGGGGAUGACGUCAAGUCAUCAUGGCCCUUACGAGUAGGGCUACACACGUGCUACAAUGGCAUAUACAAAGAGAAGCGAACUCGCGAGAGCAAGCGGACCUCAUAAAGUAUGUCGUAGUCCGGAUUGGAGUCUGCAACUCGACUCCAUGAAGUCGGAAUCGCUAGUAAUCGUAGAUCAGAAUGCUAUCGUCC